This 702-nucleotide ribosomal RNA is filed under the name Triticum aestivum (bread wheat). RNAcentral describes it as "partial small subunit ribosomal RNA". Lineage: Eukaryota; Viridiplantae; Streptophyta; Magnoliopsida; Poales; Poaceae. The record is from RNAcentral.
AUGUCCUCCUCCACGGCCUCCUGGUCGCGCUACGGCGCCGUCCCGGCCCCGCCCCCGCCGCCGCGGCCCGACGCGAACGGCGACUUCGAGGCGGCGCCCUCCUCCUCCUCCUCCCCCGCCUCCCCGCCGGCGGCGACCGCGGCGGAGGCGGGGGUGGCCUUCUUCUCGCGCGCGGGGGCCAGCGCCGCGGCCGCCGCGGCCGUGGGCCGGCCGCGCGCCUGGCGGGAGGUGCUGGACCACACGGCCUUCUCCCGCCCGGAGACCUGCGGCGAGGCGCGCGCCCGGGCGCGCCGCAACCUCGCCUACUUCCGCGCCAACUACGCGCUCGCGGCGCUCGUCCUCGUCUUCCUCGGCCUCGUCUACCGCCCGCGCUCCAUGCUCGCCUUCCUCGCCCUCUUCGUCGCCUGGCUCGCCCUCUACUUCGGCCGCGGCGGGGACGCGGGGCCGCUCGUCUGCCUCGGCCGCGACGUCGACGACCGCGUCGUGCUCGCCGUCCUCUCCGCCGCCACCGUGCUCGCCGUCGCGCUCACCCGCGCCGGCCUCAACCUGCUCGUCUCCCUCGUCCUCGCCUCCGCCCUCAUCGGCGUGCACGCCGCCUUCCGCAUGAACGUCUACCUGGACGAGAGGGACGCCUUCGACGCCGACGCCGCCGUCUCGUCAUUCAUGGGGAGCACCUACGGCUACAGCACGCUCCCAAAAUGA